UACGUAGGGUGCGAGCGUUAAUCGGAAUUACUGGGCGUAAAGCGUGCGCAGGCGGUUCGUUGUGUCGGCGGUGAAAGCCCCGGGCUUAACCUGGGAAUGGCCGUUGAAACUGGCGAACUGGAGUGUGGCAGAGGGGGGUGGAAUUCCGCGGGUAGCAGUGAAAUGCGUAGAGAUGCGGAGGAACACCGAUGGCGAAGGCAGCCCCCUGGGCUAACACUGACGCUCAGGCACGAAAGCGUGGGGAGCAAACAGG
This 253-nucleotide ribosomal RNA is filed under the name uncultured bacterium. RNAcentral's name for it is "partial 16S ribosomal RNA". It matches the Rfam family "Bacterial small subunit ribosomal RNA", at positions 524 to 776 of the family's 1533-position model. The record is from RNAcentral.